RNAcentral lists this long non-coding RNA (371 nucleotides) under Elaeis guineensis (African oil palm). Its description in RNAcentral is "long non-coding RNA (EGUI_LNC039134)". The record is from RNAcentral. Lineage: Eukaryota; Viridiplantae; Streptophyta; Magnoliopsida; Arecales; Arecaceae.
CCCCCCAACUCCUCUUGUCGAUGCUGCUAGCUGCCUUCCGCUCUGUUGUGAUGUCAGGAGUACACCUUCAGCAUCAAUCCGCCACUCCCAACCAAGUGGUAUGGAACUACUCUACAAUCCCAUCUCAUUGUGCCUGGAGGAAGGAGAAUAUGAAGCCAACCAGCAUGGAGAAGGAUGGAGAGGGAAUGCAUGGAGGCAGAUGGAGAUCUGGGGGAGGCAUAUGAACAGAGUGGCGAGAGUGAGCGAAUGAGGAAUGCAGGGGGAGGCAGAUGAAGAGGGUUUCUAUCGAGAUUGAGAUUUGGAAGAGGGGAAUAGAAACAUAUUGAAAUAUCUUUAUUUUGAAAAUAUUAACAAAAAAAAGGGAAGCUAGG